Non-coding RNA from Acanthosepion pharaonis, 110 nucleotides. The record is from the annotation of a GenBank genome assembly. Lineage: Eukaryota; Metazoa; Mollusca; Cephalopoda; Sepiida; Sepiidae.
AGCCAUAUCACAUUCAAACACCAGUUCCUGUAUGAUCACUGAAGUUAAGCAAUGUCAAACCUGGUCAGUAUCUAGAUGGUUGACUGCUUGGGAAUACCAGAUGCUGUAAG